AUGGCGAUUCCGGAGGAGCUGCGCCGCUACUGGCUGACGAUCCUCCUCGCCGCCGCCGGCUUCCUCUUCCAGCUCCUCGUCCUGCCCAAAUCCUUUCCGCCCUCCCACUACGACGCGCUCGGAAUCCAGAGGUUUGCGCCGGUGGAGAAGGUGGUCGAGGCAUACGAGCUGCUCUCCAAGGAGUGGCUUGCUGAAACAAAUGACCGGUCAACUGUUGAUAUUAUAAAGAUCCGUUAUGCGUAUGAGCUGUUGACAAAUCCAGUUUGGAAGCGGGACUAUGAUCUUUUUGGUCUGGAUCAUCAUACGGAUAUCUUCGAGAGAGUCAAAGAACAAUAUCAAAAAGAGCACUUCCUGAAAAUAGAUCUACCUUUGUUAAAAGAUUCUUUAUCUCAUUCGACUGGUCAUGCCUUCAAUGUACUCACACGUGACUCAUUGAUGUCUGCCAUUGCUGAAGAUUACCCGUUGCUCAUACAGGUUUAUUCAAAGGGGAGUCCUCGCUGCGCUCAAUUUUUUGAGUACUGGAAGCAAAUUGACACUCGACUGGACGGCGUGGCCAACACUGCUAUGGUAGAACUUGGUGAUGUGCCACUGGCGGGGUAUUUUGCAGAAAAAAGGUUCUCUCAACAGCCAUUUUUCCGCAAUGGUAUACCAGCUCUCGUUGCAUAUCCUGCUAACUGCAGAAAUCCAUCCUGUUAUAUGAGGUACCCAGGUGAGCUAACUGUGGAUUCUGUUGUCAACUGGGUAGCAUCAUCAAUUGUUGGUUUACCUCGGAUCUUGUACUAUUCAAAGGAGACACUGGGACCCCAGUUCAUUGGGAAGAGUAGCCAUCAUAAGGUCAAGGCUAUCUUUUUCUCAAGCACUGGGGAGCGUGCGGCUCCAUUCCUUCGCCAAGCUGCCCAAGAGUAUUCCAGCUAUGCAUCCUUUGCAUUUGUCCUAUGGAAAGAAGAGGAAUCCCAGAUCUGGUGGAAUUCAUUAGGAGUGGAAUCUGCUCCUGCACUUGUUUUCUUGAAGGGACCAGGUGCCAAACCUGUUGUAUACCAUGGAACUUUUAGCAAGUCCGAGUUCACAGAGAUAAUGGAGGAGCAUAAGCACCAAGAACUCCAGCAGCUAAGAAGUGACACAUCUUUGGAUCUUGGUUGUGAUGCUAGAGGUCAUUCACGCGCUGGGAAAGAAAUGAUGAUAUGGUAUUGUGUAAUAGCUGCAGGUCGCCCUGGUGUAGAAUUAAGUAAAAAGAGACAAAUUUUGAGGAAGGCCCAGGAUCAACUACUCAGUGCUGCUGGUGGAAGUACUGCUGGGAAUUUGGAAAAUUUAGUAGAGGUAACAAGUGCUGCAACUGCCUUAAAAGAUGACAGGCUGACCUUUGUUUGGUUGGAUGGAGAAUUGCAGAAGAAAAUUUGUGCCUUCUACCUUGCCACUGAUUACAAUGGAGCCUGUGGUCCUAGAGGCUUUGAAGAUGACAAUGAUAAGCCUGAAGUAUUCAUUGUCCGUUUCCAAAGAAAUGCAACAUACGAGGCGUUGAAAGCCGACAAAAAGAAUAAUCUUAUAGAGACUCUCCAGGGACAGGACACUCCUGAUGCCUCCCAGCUAGUGGCUAGGUAUAAUGGCCCAGAUGAAAUUCUGGAGAUAAACAAGUGGGUCUCUCAGAUUAUCAAAGAUGGAGAUACUAGAGAAAUUCCUUACUUUACUUCAAAGGUACCAGAUCAUGUACCUGAAGAAACAAAUAAGGAAUGGUUAAGCGGUACCAAAGGUAUCCGCUCGGCAGGGAAAAGUUUAAAAGAGAGGGUUCAGAACAGUGGCUUCAGUUUCAGAGAUUACUUAACUGACCCAAGGAUUGGUCCAGCUUUGCUGAUGCUUGCAUGCAUUUCAUGGGGAACAAUAUGGUUCAAGAAUAUCCAAUCAGCUCAGAAGACUCCAAAGGACGAAGCUCCUAAAGACAAGACCGACAAACGUCGCCGUCCGAAGCUUAGCACGACACUCUUUGGUCAACCUGAAUCCAGCGCGGAUCCUGAACCCAGAGAUGCUCGUCAGUGGGAGAUAGAGGACUCAGAUUCAGACUGA
This 2058-nucleotide ribosomal RNA is filed under the name Triticum aestivum (bread wheat). RNAcentral describes it as "partial small subunit ribosomal RNA". Lineage: Eukaryota; Viridiplantae; Streptophyta; Magnoliopsida; Poales; Poaceae. The record is from RNAcentral.